This 377-nucleotide ribosomal RNA is filed under the name uncultured Nitrososphaerota archaeon. RNAcentral describes it as "bacterial SSU rRNA". It matches the Rfam family "Archaeal small subunit ribosomal RNA", at positions 340 to 718 of the family's 1478-position model. The record is from RNAcentral. Lineage: Archaea; Thermoproteati; Nitrososphaerota.
CGAGAAAACUUUGCAAUGUGCGAAAGCACGACAAGGUUAAUCCGAGUGGUUUCUGCUAAAGGAACCUUUUGCCAGUUCCUAGAAACACUGGUGAAUUAAGGGGUGGCAAGUUCUGGUGUCAGCCGCCGCGGUAAAACCAGCACCUCAAGUGGUCAGGAUGAUUAUUGGGCCUAAAGCAUCCGUAAGCCUGCUUUGUUAGUUUUCGGUUAAGUCCAUUCGCUCAACGAAUGGGCUGCCGGGAAUACUGCAAAGCUAGGGAGUGGGAGAGGUAGACGGUACUCGGUAGGAAGGGGUAAAAUCCUUUGAUCUAUUGAUGACCACUGUGCGAAGGCGGUCUACCAGAACACGUCCGACGGUGAGGGAUGAAAGCUGGGGGA